GAAGGUCACGGCGAGACGAGCCGUUUAUCAUUACGAUAGGUGUCAAGUGGAAGUGCAGUGAUGUAUGCAGCUGAGGCAUCCUAACAGACCGGUAGACUUGAACCUUGUUCCUACAUGACCUGAUCAAUUCGAUCAGGCACUCGCCAUCUAUUUUCAUUGUUCAAAUCUCUGAAAACAUGAAAAAACCAAAAGCUCUGCCCCCCUCUCUAUCUAAGGGAUGGAAGGGCAG
This 229-nucleotide ribosomal RNA is filed under the name Pterygocalyx volubilis. RNAcentral describes it as "4.5S ribosomal RNA". Lineage: Eukaryota; Viridiplantae; Streptophyta; Magnoliopsida; Gentianales; Gentianaceae. The record is from RNAcentral.